AUUGAACGCUGGCGGUAUGCUUAACACAUGCAAGUCGAACGGUAACAGGUCUUCGGAUGCUGACGAGUGGCGGACGGGUGAGUAAUGCGUAGGAAUCUGCCUAUGAGUGGGGGAUAACUUAGGGAAACUUAAGCUAAUACCGCAUAAGCCCUACGGGGGAAAGCGGGGGAUCGUAAGACCUCGCGCUGAUAGAUGAGCCUACGUCAGAUUAGCUAGUUGGUGGGGUAAUGGCCUACCAAGGCGACGAUCUGUAACUGGUCUGAGAGGAUGAUCAGUCACACUGGAACUGAGACACGGUCCAGACUCCUACGGGAGGCAG
This 319-nucleotide ribosomal RNA is filed under the name uncultured Pseudomonadota bacterium. RNAcentral's name for it is "bacterial SSU rRNA". It matches the Rfam family "Bacterial small subunit ribosomal RNA", at positions 30 to 351 of the family's 1533-position model. Lineage: Bacteria; Pseudomonadati; Pseudomonadota. The record is from RNAcentral.